AAUCUUGUCCUACUGCUCGCCGCGCUCGCCAUGAACGUUGCACUUGUUUAUUUCGGCUGACCAGGAG
Molecule: unclassified non-coding RNA, 67 nt
Filed under: Mesorhizobium prunaredense
Lineage: Bacteria; Pseudomonadati; Pseudomonadota; Alphaproteobacteria; Hyphomicrobiales; Phyllobacteriaceae
Description: SNORD105
Source: RNAcentral